Molecule: ribosomal RNA, 484 nt
Filed under: uncultured bacterium
Lineage: Bacteria
Description: partial 16S ribosomal RNA
Rfam family: Bacterial small subunit ribosomal RNA
Source: RNAcentral
GACGAACGCUGGCGGCGUGCUUAACACAUGCAAGUCGAACGAUGAACCCGGAGCUUGCUCCGGCGGAUUAGUGGCGAACGGAUGAGUAACACGUGAGUAACCUGCCCUUGACUCUGGGAUAACUGCGGGAAACUGUAGCUAAUACCGGAUACGACCCUCGGCGGCAUCGCCAGGGGGUGGAAAGAAUUUCGGUCAAGGAUGGACUCGCGGCCUAUCAGCUAGUUGGUGAGGUAACGGCUCACCAAGGCGACGACGGGUAGCCGGCCUGAGAGGGGGACCGGCCACACUGGGACUGAGACACGGCCCAGACUCCUACGGGAGGCAGCAGUGGGGAAUAUUGCACAAUGGGCGCAAGCCUGAUGCAGCAACGCCGCGUGAGGGAUGACGGCCUUCGGGUUGUAAACCUCUUUUAGUAGGGAAGAAGCGAAAGUGACGGUACCUGCAGAAAAAGCACCGGCUAACUACGUGCCAGCAGCCGCCGUAA